RNAcentral lists this transfer RNA (76 nucleotides) under candidate division LCP-89 bacterium B3_LCP. RNAcentral describes it as "tRNA-Arg". It matches the Rfam family "tRNA". Rfam says of the family: Transfer RNA (tRNA) molecules are approximately 80 nucleotides in length. The record is from RNAcentral. Lineage: Bacteria; Pseudomonadati; candidate division LCP-89.
GCCCCUGUAGCUCAGUUGGAUAGAGCACUGGCCUCCGGAGCCAGUUGCCCGGGUUCGAGUCCCGGCGGGGGUACAA